This 254-nucleotide ribosomal RNA is filed under the name uncultured bacterium. RNAcentral describes it as "partial 16S ribosomal RNA". It matches the Rfam family "Bacterial small subunit ribosomal RNA", at positions 524 to 776 of the family's 1533-position model. The record is from RNAcentral.
UACGUAGGCAGCAAGCGUUGUUCGGAGUUACUGGGCGUAAAGAGUGCGUAGGCGGUCCUGUAAGUUUGGUGUGAAAUCUCCCGGCUCAACUGGGAGGGUGCGCCGAAGACUGCAGGGCUUGAGUAUGGGAGAGGUAAGCGGAAUUCCUGGUGGUAGCGGUGAAAUGCGUAGAUAUCAGGAGGAACACCUGUGGUGUAGACAGCUUACUGGACCAUAACUGACGCUGAGGCACGAAAGCGUGGGUAGCAAACAGG